UUCAGUGAAAUUCUUGUUAGACUUUUCAGAGUUCUGUAAGAGACCAGCCCUCCAUGCAGAGCUGAUUACAUGAAGUUCUUGUGUUUUGCAGGUUCUCACCAAUGUAUAGGUUCACCUGCAUCUGCAAAAGGAGUGGACUAGCAAUGGUAGAAGGAAUUAUUUCACACUCCUCACUGUCAUUAACAGAUUUGUUACACUUUCUGUAUUGAGGAAAAGUAAUUAUUGCUAACACUGUGAGGAAUAUUGAAUGGGCAACAUUGACUGGUGCUGAAGUCACAUUUAAUGACUGCUUUGGUAGAAUCUUUACAGGAGCUUUCCAUCAAGCCAGAUUUGUUUCUAAGGGUCCCCAAAAUCUGUGUGCUUGAUCAACCCUCACCUUUCACACUGAACUUUCUUGCUUGUUGUCAUUUCACCCUUUGCCCUCCAAUAAGAGCAGGAGGAUUCCUUUGCUGGCUGUGUUGUCUGACCUCCCACCUGCCAUCCUAAUUUCCUUCUAACAAGUCUUUUCAAAACUAAAGUUGCAAUUUAAUUGCGGAGAGACAUUUGAGCAUGAAUAGCAAUACCAGAACCCGGGGACUCUGCAGAUGUGACCAUUUGUCACCAUAAUCCCACCAUUCAAGUGGAGAUGAUCAACUGGUCCAGAUUCAUUGUUCUAGAUGCACACAGCUGUCUCAGCUGUCCUGAGCACCUUCACCCUCACAGCAGAUCCAAGCUCACAGUCCCUGAGAAGCCCCUUGGUUCAGUUUGUGGCUUGAAGCUAAGAUGACAGAUUCCAGGGAAUGAUCCAGACUUUCAGCAGAUGCAACUAGAAGACCCAGAGGCAAGGUUUUGGUCACCCCUGUUAAAUCACCAUCUUCAUUUCUGACAGUGCCAAGGAGGGAGGCCCACAUAGGCAGAAGAAGUGAGCUAGUAAGAAGAAAAGCAGUCAAAUAUCUCCUAAAAAGGAAGACAAACAUCCAGGUACAGAAGGCAUUGAUCAUGCUGCCUGCAUGAUCAAUGGGAGUUUUGCCAAUGACACAAACAGGAGUGAAUUGGCAGGAAAGAGAAUAGGAAAUAUUUGCAAAGAAGUGCAUCAGCUUUGCAUGUAUAGAAGAAAAAGCAGCUGCAUUAGCAGCUGUCCCAUUAGAAAGUGCUCAGGGAAAUGGAGAUGCAUUGCUUCUAUCUUCCAGGCAUUAACUGUACAUUUUUACUCUAACUUCCAAUUAGGACAUUUAAUCGGUCAGCACCCCGUUUUUCCCCACCCUCUAUGCAAUGCGAUAGGCUCAAGACAGAAGUUAAGUUUAGCAGAAACGAGAGAAGUCUCACACAGCAGAGUGUAUGAGGGUGUUCUUUCUUCAGAGACUGACUAAGCCUCCGGCAGUCACUCCCCUGCAAGUGCUGACCUGUUCCAUGGGCAGACCAAGAAGUGAUGCUGCUGUCAGUGUCUCCACUGCACAUGCAGAGAGACCCCAUUUCAACACAGCCUUCGCUACUGAAUGUACAGCAGGGGAGGGGUAUCAAUCCUCAGCCACCUCUUUGCCACUAGCCCGUCUGAAAAAGUUUUAUGAAGGCUUACCAAACUCAAAAGGUGGGAUGUUAUACUCUAUUUGCAAAUUUGGAAGCCCCUUCUGAAAACAUGAUUCUUGAUGGUAAAACUUUGUGUUGGAAGAUAAAACAGAGUAAGUGGUCCAUGACUUCUUGGGCUGGGAAAUGAGCAGUGAGUGCUCUGGAGGUUACCCUGCAUGGCCUACUGCCGGUGACUGGAAAGAGAGGCAUGGCAAUGGCAGCAAAACUUAUCAGAAUACCAGAUACUGUGUUAGAUUUGAGCUUUCUGGGUUGCCAUGAAGUUUUCCUGAUUAAUUAGAAGCAUAUUCCAUGACUCUACUAAUCAGCUAAGUUUCCAUAUGUGAUAUGAUCCUCUUCACUUACCAGAUUUGUUCCUUUAUCUCAGUUCUCUAAAAUACCAGUUUUGCUGAACUACUAAUUCUUACUUUCCAACAGUCAGUUAUGAAAAACUAUGGUUUUGAAAAUAUUGCUUUCCUGUGAGCUGUCUCAGGCUUUUGCUGUAAUGAUAUCUUAAAACA
Non-coding RNA from Cyanistes caeruleus (blue tit), 2063 nucleotides. NCBI's taxonomy places the organism in Eukaryota, Metazoa, Chordata, Aves, Passeriformes, Paridae. The record is from RefSeq and is a predicted model, not a curated record.